This 125-nucleotide small RNA is filed under the name Marmota monax (woodchuck). The record is from RNAcentral. Lineage: Eukaryota; Metazoa; Chordata; Mammalia; Rodentia; Sciuridae.
GCCAGGCGUGGUGGCACACGCCUAUAAUCCCAGUGGCUUGGGAGGCUGAGACAAGAGGAUCGAGAGUUCAGAGCCAGUCUCAGCAAUGGUGAGGCACUAAGCAAUUCAGUGAGACCCCGUCUCUA